GCGCGGUGGACGUGGCCGAGCUGCAGGAGUGGUACAAGAAGUUCCUGACGGAGUGCCCCAGCGGCUCGCUCUUCAUGCACGAGUUUAAGCGCUUCUUCAAGGUCGCAGGCAACGAGGAGGCCACUCAGUAUGUAGAGGGCAUGUUUGUUCCGCGCCUUCGACAGGAACGGGGACAACACCAUCGACUUCCUGGAGUACGUGGCAGCCCUGAACCUCAUGCUGAGGGGCAACCUGGAGCACACGCUGAAGUGGACCUUCAAGAUCUAUGACAAGGACCGCAACGGCUGCAUCGACCGCCUGGAGCUGCUGGACAUCGUGGAGGUCAGUGUCUGCAGGGGGUGGAGGGCGGGGCAAGCACUUAGGCACAUGGCCAGCUGUCCCUGAACGAAUUCAUUGAAGGUGCCCGUCGUGACAAGUGGGUGAUGAAGAUGCUGCAGAUGGAUGCGAGUCCUGGCAGCUGGAUCUCUCAGCAGAGGCAGAAGAGUGCCAUGUUCUGAGGGGCCUGUGGCCCUGGGAGCCCCCGGGGACUCCAGGCUCACCAGGUUUCCAGAGUAGUGGGGGGGGCAUCCCUGGCUCAGCCUGCUAUGCCUACUCUCAUCCUGGCACGGACUUCCUGGUGCCUCCCGUGUAGGGGGUGGGGCUGAGUGGGGAGGAGGUGUCUGAAGGGGUCAGUAGGGCCAUGGGUCCUAUUGGGAGGUUUCACAUUCAUGGGGUGCUGAAGGGAACUGGCUUCCUCUUCCCUUCUGCUCCAGGGAAAGCCCGGCCUUGGCAGGGUGGUUGAGCUCCCACAAAUUCCUGCUCGGUUCUUAGCUGAAUGCAGGGAAAACUGGGGAGUGGGGAUCCCACAGACCAACUUAGCAAUGAGAAUGCCCACACGGCCUGAGACUGACUGGUAGCAGGGAGGGGCUGGCAGGUGUUAUUGACUCGGGAGCAAAGGUGGGACCUGGGGGGAGGGGAUGGCUAAUAAUUACCCCCCCAUCCUAAGGAAUGUGCCCGUGAGGACAUGUGCCUCUUCCUCCCCCAGUUGUCCUCACCAGGGGUGUCCACGGGAAACUUGCAACGAGUCAGGCUGUGGUCUGCCUGCCCUUGGAGGAGGUCAGCUGUGCUUAAAGGGGCUGUUCCAACUCUGCCCCGUGCUGUCCCCCCCAAAUCUCCUCUCCCCUCUGCAUCCCCACACACACCUCCCCAACCCCCACCCCCAGCAAGGACCUUCCACAGCUCCGCAUUGCAAGCCCACAAGUCAAACGUGUCUCCUUAAAGGAUGGAAGAAACCUUUCCUCUGUCCCUGGGGAGAACUGGGGGCCUGCCAAUCUGGGUUCUAGACCGGGUUUUGCCUCCAACUGCUAUGUGACCCAAGACGGCCACUUCUCUUCCCUAACUUCAGUUAUCUCAUCUACAGCGUGAGCAGUUUAGACAAGUGGUUUUCAGAUGAUUCUUUUUUGGAUGUGAAAUUCUUUUUGUUAUACAAACUGUGUAUGCCACCCCAGUACAGACACCAGAUGAAAAGGCAGUCCUUCUGGUGGCAGGGGUUGCUGAGGACCUCAGAAAACAAACUCAUGUGAAUAUAUGCUUUUGUGUUGGUGUAUGAAAAAUAAAACUAACUUGUUGAGC
RNAcentral lists this long non-coding RNA (1611 nucleotides) under Sus scrofa (pig). RNAcentral's name for it is "lncRNA (ENSSSCG00030062878.1)". Lineage: Eukaryota; Metazoa; Chordata; Mammalia; Artiodactyla; Suidae. The record is from RNAcentral.